RNAcentral lists this ribosomal RNA (493 nucleotides) under uncultured bacterium. RNAcentral describes it as "partial 16S ribosomal RNA". It matches the Rfam family "Bacterial small subunit ribosomal RNA", at positions 27 to 507 of the family's 1533-position model. The record is from RNAcentral.
GAGUGAACGCUGGCGGUAGGCCUAACACAUGCAAGUCGAACGGCAGCACAGUAAGAGCUUGCUCUUACGGGUGGCGAGUGGCGGACGGGUGAGGAAUACAUCGGAAUCUACUUUUUCGUGGGGGAUAACGUAGGGAAACUUACGCUAAUACCGCAUACGACCUACGGGUGAAAGCAGGGGAUCUUCGGACCUUGCGCGAUUGAAUGAGCCGAUGUCGGAUUAGCUAGUUGGCGGGGUGAAGGCCCACCAAGGCGACGAUCCGUAGCUGGUCUGAGAGGAUGAUCAGCCACACUGGAACUGAGACACGGUCCAGACUCCUACGGGAGGCAGCAGUGGGGAAUAUUGGACAAUGGGCGCAAGCCUGAUCCAGCCAUACCGCGUGGGUGAAGAAGGCCUUCGGGUUGUAAAGCCCUUUUGUUGGGAAAGAAAAGCAGCAGGUUAAUACCCCGCUGUUCUGACGGUACCCAAAGAAUAAGCACCGGCUAACUUCGUG